Molecule: transfer RNA, 84 nt
Filed under: Planctomycetia bacterium
Lineage: Bacteria; Pseudomonadati; Planctomycetota; Planctomycetia
Description: tRNA-Leu
Rfam family: tRNA
About the family: Transfer RNA (tRNA) molecules are approximately 80 nucleotides in length. Their secondary structure includes four short double-helical elements and three loops (D, anti-codon, and T loops).
Source: RNAcentral
GCGGAAAUGGCGGAAUUGGCAGACGCGCUAGGUUGAGGGCCUAGUGGGGUUAAACCCGUGCAGGUUCAAGUCCUGUUUUCCGCA